RNAcentral lists this RNase P RNA (278 nucleotides) under Jaculus jaculus (lesser Egyptian jerboa). Its description in RNAcentral is "Nuclear RNase P (ENSJJAG00000007072.1)". It matches the Rfam family "Nuclear RNase P", at positions 1 to 265 of the family's 301-position model. From Rfam's summary of the family: Ribonuclease P (RNase P) is a ubiquitous endoribonuclease, found in archaea, bacteria and eukarya as well as chloroplasts and mitochondria. Its best characterised activity is the generation of mature 5'-ends of tRNAs by cleaving the 5'-leader elements of precursor-tRNAs. Lineage: Eukaryota; Metazoa; Chordata; Mammalia; Rodentia; Dipodidae. The record is from Rfam by way of RNAcentral.
GGCGGGAAGAAGUUCAUCAGUGAGGCCAUGAGCUGAGUGCAUUAUGUCACUCCCACUACUGUCCCUUGGAAAGGUCUGAGACAAGGGCCACCAAGAGCAGCCCUAACAGGGCUCUCUCCCUGAGCCUCGGGAGGUGAGAAAGAGAUGGCAGUGAUGUAUCUGAACCAAAGUCAAGGGGGCAUAGUAACUUCCAGACCUAAGAGGCAAGGAAGGUUCUUCCUAGAGCCUUCAGAGGGAACAUGGGCAUUUGACAGCUUGAUUUCAGCUGUCAAGCCUCC